AGCGAACGCUGGCGGCAGGCCUAACACAUGCAAGUCGAACGAACUCUUCGGAGUUAGUGGCGGACGGGUGAGUAACACGUGGGAACGUGCCUUUUGGUUCGGAAUAACUCAGGGAAACUUGUGCUAAUACCGAAUGUGCCCUUCGGGGGAAAGAUUUAUCGCCAUUAGAGCGGCCCGCGUCUGAUUAGCUAGUUGGUGAGGUAACGGCGCACCAAGGCGACGAUCAGUAGCUGGUCUGAGAGGAUGACCAGCCACACUGGGACUGAGACACGGCCCAGACUCCUACGGGAGGCAGCAGUGGGGAAUCUUGCGAAAUGGGCGAAAGCAUGACGCAGCCAUGCCGCGUGAAUGAUGAAGGUCUUAGGAUAGUAAAAUUCUUUCACCGGGGACGAUAAUGACGGUACCCGGAGAAGAAGCCCCGGCUAACUUCGUG
Molecule: ribosomal RNA, 433 nt
Filed under: uncultured bacterium
Lineage: Bacteria
Description: partial 16S ribosomal RNA
Rfam family: Bacterial small subunit ribosomal RNA
Source: RNAcentral